UGCAAGUCGAGCGGUAACAGAUCUAGCUUGCUAGAUGCUGACGAGCGGCGGACGGGUGAGUAACGCGUAGGAAACUGCCGAGUAGUGGGGGAUAGCCCAGAGAAAUUUGGAUUAAUACCGCAUACGCCCUACGGGGGAAAGGAGGGGAUCUUCGGACCUUUCGCUAUUCGAUGUGCCUGCGUGAGAUUAGCUUGUUGGUGAGGUAAAGGCUCACCAAGGCGACGAUCUCUAGCUGGUUUGAGAGGAUGAUCAGCCACACUGGGACUGAGACACGGCCCAGACUCCUACGGGAGGCAGCAGUGGGGAAUAUUGCACAAUGGGGGAAACCCUGAUGCAGCCAUGCCGCGUGUGUGAAGAAGGCCUUCGGGUUGUAAAGCACUUUCAGCAGUGAGGAAAGGUUGUAAGUUAAUACCUUGCAGCUAUGACGUUAACUGCAGAAGAAGGACCGGCUAACUCCGUGCCAGCAGCCGCGGUAAUACGGAGGGUCCGAGCGUUAAUCGGAAUUACUGGGCGUAAAGCGCGCGUAGGCGGCUAGGUCAGUCAGAUGUGAAAGCCCCGGGCUUAACCUGGGAAUUGCAUCUGAUACUGCUUGGCUAGAGUACAGAAGAGGGUGGUGGAAUUUCCU
This 625-nucleotide ribosomal RNA is filed under the name uncultured bacterium. Its description in RNAcentral is "bacterial SSU rRNA". It matches the Rfam family "Bacterial small subunit ribosomal RNA", at positions 56 to 672 of the family's 1533-position model. The record is from RNAcentral.